This is a long non-coding RNA of Cyprinus carpio carpio, 1355 nucleotides long. The record is from Ensembl. NCBI's taxonomy places the organism in Eukaryota, Metazoa, Chordata, Actinopteri, Cypriniformes, Cyprinidae.
GUGUAUGUGUCACACCCAGGGGCUGGCUAUGCUUUGACUAAGCCACACCCCUUCUCAACUUCCACCUCGAGGAGGUCCCCAAAGCCAACCCAAUGGCCAAACAACACGAGAACAAAUGGGCUAUGGCCGGGAAGAGGUCAGGGAGCAAGGGGGCCACGGGGAUCCGGGGCGUGGGACUCGGGCCCCGGCCUGAGUCUUAGGUAUCCGUAGCGCCCUCCUUCUUCCUCCUCUUCGCUGAAUACAGCUCACGGUAAGUACUGGUUCACACAGUUCGUUCUCGAGGUGCUCACUCUCUUUCUCUUUCUCCACAGGCAACGGCUGGGACACACAGGCACAGUUAGUUCAGCUUGGUUUUGCUCUCACCUCUUCGCUGAUUACAGCUCACAGUAAGUACUGGUUCACACAGUUCGUUCCUUGGGUGCUCACUCGCUUUCUCUUUCUCCACAGGCAGCGGCGUAAGUACAGGUUUCCUCUGUUUCUCCUUGUGUUACUCACUCUCUCUUUCCUUUUCUCUCCACAGAUAUCAACUUGGGCACAAUAGCACAGUUAGUUUGCUUUGAAUGGCUCUCACCUCUGGGCUGAACACAGCGUACUGUAAGUACAGGUUCCCUCUGGUUCUCCUUGUGUUACUCACUCUCUCUUUCCUUUCCUCUCCACAGGUAUCAACUUGGACACAAAGCACAGUUACUCUGCUUUGGAUGGCUUUCACCUCUGGGCUGGACACAGCGUACCGUGCUAUCUCCGGAGAUCUGAAGCACGCCCACAACAUAUACUGUACUGAACUAGGCUAGGACCAGCAGUCUCCUUGUCCUCCCGCGACGAAGUGCGUGAAGGCGGGGGUUUAUCUGACAGGACACACGGCAAUACACAGCAGCCCACAGCAAUAUACAACACCACGUCAAAAUUAUAGGUUUUCACAGCACGAAGACUCACCCACCACACUCAGUGUACGAAAAGGACACCCGUCUUCCUUCACUUCGCUUGGUUCGGAUCUGGCGAUGGAAUAUGCGGCCUAGCUAGUGAUGUCGUCGUUGUGACUACUUCAAUAAGUAUUCCUUCGGCUCUCCCACCACGCUAUAUUAGGGGGUAGGGCCGCCCUCCUCCUCCUGGAGAGAUCUACACAACGCCAGGUCAAUAUACAGGGCACUUUCGACUGGUUCUUAGUACUCACAUCAAUGCCGCUUCCAAUCCCCUUUUUCACGUCGUCUCAGUUCGCCGUAUAAUCCGUUCACUUCUCAACCUUUAAGGUUCGCGAUGUCUUCACAAUCAUACAAUUCCAGCCUGAGGGGGAGAGAGAGUUAGACAGCCACCAGCAGCGCACCAAGACGGGCACAACACAGUGCUUCACACACACC